This 338-nucleotide unclassified non-coding RNA is filed under the name soil metagenome. Its description in RNAcentral is "partial contains 5.8S ribosomal RNA, internal transcribed spacer 2, and large subunit ribosomal RNA". The stretch from base 1 to 119 matches the Rfam family "5.8S ribosomal RNA", at positions 35 to 154 of the family's 154-position model. The record is from RNAcentral.
GAUGAAGAACGCAGUGAAAUGCGAUACGUAAUGUGAAUUGCAAAUUCAGUGAAUCAUCGAGUCUUUGAACGCACAUUGCGCCCCCUGGUAUUCCGGGGGGCAUGCCUGUCCGAGCGUCAUUGCUGCCCUCAAGCACGGCUUGUGUGUUGGGCUCCGUCCCCCCGGGGACGGGCCCGAAAGGCAGCGGCGGCACCGAGUCCGGUCCUCGAGCGUAUGGGGCUUUGUCACCCGCUCUGUAGGCCCGGCCGGCGCCAGCCGACAACCCAUCAUCCUUUUCAGGUUGACCUCGGAUCAGGUAGGGAUACCCGCUGAACUUAAGCAUAUCAAUAAGCGGAGGA